CCUCGCUGUUGGAUCGGUUGCGGUAUCGGAGGGAACAGUUGCCCAGGCUGGGCGGUUCGAAGAGGGAAGCGACAAUUGUGUUUGUGGAUAUAAGGAAUUAUUCUACGUUGGCGGAGCGUUUGGAUCCGGAGCAGACGCUGAAUGUGUUGAAUGAGUGUUUUUCUGCGUGGGUGAAAGACGUCCAA
This 185-nucleotide non-coding RNA is filed under the name Thalassiosira rotula. The record is from RNAcentral. Lineage: Eukaryota; Bacillariophyta; Thalassiosirophyceae; Thalassiosirales; Thalassiosiraceae.